Non-coding RNA from Ictidomys tridecemlineatus (thirteen-lined ground squirrel), 72 nucleotides. Lineage: Eukaryota; Metazoa; Chordata; Mammalia; Rodentia; Sciuridae. The record is from Rfam.
AGGGUUGUGGCUCAGUGGUAGAGCACUUGCCUGGCACGUGUGAGGCACUGGGUUUGAUUCUCAGCACUACUG